UAUGGUGUGGAUGUUUGGCUUGUGCCGUCUCAUUAGCGUGAUACUGCGCUGCUCCAGAACAAGAGCCAGUGGAUCACAGACUAUCUGCUGACAGCUGAAGAGCGACAGAUACACCCCUCCGUGGCCUGAGGGACUCUGAUGAUAUCAGCAUUAACAAGCUUGAGGCUCUGGCACAAUGGGGCUUCAGGUGCUGUGCUGUAAACCGAUGGGACAUUCAUCCCAUUCUGACUCUCUGGUUACAAUCUGCUGCCCUGGACCUUUGAAACCAGGCAAGAAACAAGAGCCCAGCAGUCAGUGUGUGUGAGCUGAGGACUUGAAUUCAGCGCUGGCCUGAGGGAGAUGGGAUUAGAACAAAGCUGUGUUUCUCUAAUUGGACUCGACAAGCUCUGGUCAGUCAGAUAAGGAUUUACACAAGCUCCAGUCUGGAUCCAGAACACCUGAGAAGAGAUGAUGC
Molecule: long non-coding RNA, 454 nt
Organism: Carassius auratus (goldfish)
Lineage: Eukaryota; Metazoa; Chordata; Actinopteri; Cypriniformes; Cyprinidae
Exons: 3
Source: RefSeq, a predicted model, not a curated record